RNAcentral lists this unclassified non-coding RNA (353 nucleotides) under soil metagenome. Its description in RNAcentral is "partial contains 5.8S ribosomal RNA, internal transcribed spacer 2, and large subunit ribosomal RNA". The stretch from base 1 to 120 matches the Rfam family "5.8S ribosomal RNA", at positions 35 to 154 of the family's 154-position model. The record is from RNAcentral.
GAUGAAGAACGCAGCGAAAUGCGAUAAGUAGUGUGAAUUGCAGAAUUCAGUGAAUCAUCGAAUCUUUGAACGCACAUUGCGCCUCCUGGUAUUCCGGGAGGCAUGCCUGUUCGAGCGUCAUUAAAAUCACUCAAGCUUAGGUUUACCUAUUGCUUGGUCUUGGAGAUGGAAGCCAAUUUAUUGGAAUCCUCUUCGAAAUUCAAUGGCGAAGACCCUUGCUCUCCCAAGUGUAGUAAUAACUUAUGUCACUGAAGGAAGCGAGAAAUCUUCUGCCGUAACCCCCAAAUUUUCUAUGAUUGACCUCGGAUCAGGUAGGGAUACCCGCUGAACUUAAGCAUAUCAAAAGCGGAGGA